RNAcentral lists this ribosomal RNA (577 nucleotides) under Scinax squalirostris (striped snouted treefrog). RNAcentral's name for it is "partial large subunit ribosomal RNA". It matches the Rfam family "Bacterial large subunit ribosomal RNA", at positions 1819 to 2597 of the family's 2925-position model. Lineage: Eukaryota; Metazoa; Chordata; Amphibia; Anura; Hylidae. The record is from RNAcentral.
CGCCUCUUGAAUUUGAUAAGAGGUCCAGCCUGCCCAGUGACCACAGUUCAACGGCCGCGGUAUCCUAACCGUGCGAAGGUAGCGUAAUCACUUGUUCUUUAAAUGGGGACUAGUAUGAAUGGCAUCACGAGGGUUAUACUGUCUCCUUUUUCCAAUCAGUGAAACUAAUCUCCCCGUGAAGAAGCGGGGAUAAAACCAUAAGACGAGAAGACCCUAUGGAGCUUUAAAUUUCUCUUCAAACGCCGGCUAAUUUAGUAAGGUCGUAGACCCCCCUCCCCCUAACCCUAGCGCCAUGAAGACGACUUUUAGGUUGGGGUGACCGCGGAGUACAAAAAAACCUCCACAUUGAACUAGGCUCCCAAGCCCUGAGCAAAGGGCCACAACCCUAUGCACUAAAAAACUAACAUCCAUUGACCCAAUACCUCUUGAUCAACGAACCAAGUUACCCUAGGGAUAACAGCGCAAUCCACUUCAAGAGUCCAUAUCGACAAGUGGGUUUACGACCUCGAUGUUGGAUCAGGGUAUCCCAGUGGUGCAGCCGCUACUAAUGGUUCGUUUGUUCAACGAUUAAAACCCU